RNAcentral lists this ribosomal RNA (398 nucleotides) under uncultured bacterium. RNAcentral's name for it is "bacterial SSU rRNA". It matches the Rfam family "Bacterial small subunit ribosomal RNA", at positions 32 to 424 of the family's 1533-position model. The record is from RNAcentral.
AAUCAACGCUGGCGGCGUGCCUCAGACAUGCAAGUCGAACGAUUAAACUUUCCUUCGGGAAAGAUAUAAAGUGGCGCACGGGUGAGUAACACGUAAGUAAUCUACCUUUGAGUGGGGAAUAACAUCGGGAAACCGAUGCUAAUACCGCAUAAUGCAGCGGCAUCGCAAGAUGACAGUUGUUAAAGAUUUAUCGCUUAAAGAGGAGCUUGCGGCAGAUUAGCUAGUUGGUAAGGUAAUGGCUUACCAAGGCUACGAUCUGUAACCGGUCUAAGAGGACGGUCGGUCACACUGACACUGAAUAACGGGUCAGACUCCUACGGGAGGCAGCAGUCGGGAAUUUGGCAAUGGGCGAAAGCCUGACCCAGCAACGCCGCGUGAAGGAUGAAGUAUUUCGGUAU